This is a long non-coding RNA of Passer domesticus (house sparrow), 1153 nucleotides long. RefSeq lists it as uncharacterized. NCBI's taxonomy places the organism in Eukaryota, Metazoa, Chordata, Aves, Passeriformes, Passeridae. The record is from RefSeq and is a predicted model, not a curated record. The transcript is spliced from 3 exons.
UCCUUAUUCCAUGUUAUCUAUACUGGCUGAGUCCUAAAGUUUGCAUAUGGAAUGAAUAAAAGCCCUCAAGAGUUCUCAACUCUAACCAGCUGCAAAGAUAUGCAGGUGUCUGUCUGCAGUUCUUUGACUACUGUCUUUGCAAACUAAAGCAUUGGGUCACAGCUAACUUGGGACACCUGGUCAAAAUGAAUCAACUGCCUUGGUGGCCCUGGCCAGAGCCUGCUGCCCUUCUGAGAACUGGGUGAACCUCAUGUACUCCUUAACAUUGAUUCCUGUGAUGUCAAUUGUCAUCUCUUCUGGCAUUCUCUCAGGCUGUGGUCUGUGGAAACAAACCCAGAAGAUUAAGGGAGAAUGAAUGAAUUGCAAACACAAAUUUGGAAUUAUUAGGGCCUAAGGCUGAGAUGGCACAUCUCUCAAAAAAGGUGCUAAAACCUAAGGCAUCACUUGGACCCGUAACACUGUUGUUUAGGUAUUGUGGUCCAAAUUCAGUGUCACAUGACUGUAAAAGCAGGAUUUAGUCACUUUUUGAUGUUAUCUUGUUGAAUCUCUGACUUAAUAGUUUCCAAAUGUUUUCACAUAAACUGAUUAUGCAGCUGCUGCUGGUUUCUGUGUUUCAGCAGCUCUAAAUGUGGGGCCCUUAGGAGAGCACAAAAAUAGAUUUGGGGCUGCCUUGGCAUGACUGCUUUUAGGCCUGCCUGGCAGUGAUCACAGCUAAUGUGGCUGCAGAGCUCUUGGUUGGGUCUGUACAGUUUGAAAUUGAUCCACAUAUUUGCUCUGCAUCUGCUCUUCCCUGUGAAGAACUUCAGGAGGAAUAUUAGUAAUGACCUUGGGAGUGAAAAUUGCCCAUAAGGAAGAUGAGCAUAUGUUACACAUUCUUUACAGCAGGGGAGCCAAGAAGAGUUGUGUUUGUGAUCGCUGCACCUGUGUCAGUGGAAAAGGAUCAGUGCCAUGCUGGCUAAUGAAAUAAUGCACCUCCCCUGACAUGGACAGAGCAAUCACUAUGCUGCCAUGGGAAGAAGUGCCCUAAUGAAGGGUAUUUGAACACUGAUCACUGGAGAUGUGUACACCAGUCUGGGGAUCAUGGGAUUUUCUGUGCUGUGUAUACUGUGUUACCCUGGAGUCCUCUCAAAUCUGUCCAAGAUCAAAGAACUUU